AUGCAAGUCGAGCGGUAACAGAUCCAGCUUGCUGGAUGCUGACGAGCGGCGGACGGGUGAGUAAUGCAUAGGAAUCUGCCCGGUAGUGGGGGAUAACCUGGGGAAACCCAGGCUAAUACCGCAUACGUCCUACGGGAGAAAGGGGGCUUCGGCUCCCGCUAUCGGAUGAGCCUAUGUCGGAUUAGCUAGUUGGUGAGGUAACGGCUCACCAAGGCCACGAUCCGUAGCUGGUCUGAGAGGAUGAUCAGCCACAUCGGGACUGAGACACGGCCCGAACUCCUACGGGAGGCAGCAGUGGGGAAUAUUGGACAAUGGGGGGAACCCUGAUCCAGCCAUGCCGCGUGUGUGAAGAAGGCCCUCGGGUUGUAAAGCACUUUCAGCGAGGAAGAACGCCUAGCGGUUAAUACCCGCUAGGAAAGACAUCACUCGCAGAAGAAGCACCGGCUAACUCCGUGCCAGCAGCCGCGGUAAUACGGAGGGUGCAAGCGUUAAUCGGAAUUACUGGGCGUAAAGCGCGCGUAGGUGGCUUGAUAAGCCGGUUGUGAAAGCCCCGGGCUCAACCUGGGAACGGCAUCCGGAACUGUCAAGCUAGAGUGCAGGAGAGGAAGGUAGAAUUCCCGGUGUAGCGGUGAAAUGCGUAGAGAUCGGGAGGAAUACCAGUGGCGAAGGCGGCCUUCUGGACUGACACUGACACUGAGGUGCGAAAGCGUGGGUAGCAAACAGGAUUAGAUACCCUGGUAGUCCACGCCGUAAACGAUGUCGACCAGCCGUUGGGUGCCUAGCGCACUUUGUGGCGAAGUUAACGCGAUAAGUCGACCGCCUGGGGAGUACAGCCGCAACGUUAAACUCAAUGAAUUGAUGGGGGCCCGCACAAGCGGUGGAGCAUGUGGUUUAAUUCGAUGCAACGCGAAGAA
This 914-nucleotide ribosomal RNA is filed under the name Halomonas sp. 612M-54. RNAcentral describes it as "bacterial SSU rRNA". It matches the Rfam family "Bacterial small subunit ribosomal RNA", at positions 55 to 968 of the family's 1533-position model. The record is from RNAcentral. Lineage: Bacteria; Pseudomonadati; Pseudomonadota; Gammaproteobacteria; Oceanospirillales; Halomonadaceae.